RNAcentral lists this ribosomal RNA (1180 nucleotides) under Chara braunii. RNAcentral describes it as "bacterial SSU rRNA". The stretch from base 415 to 1180 matches the Rfam family "Bacterial small subunit ribosomal RNA". Lineage: Eukaryota; Viridiplantae; Streptophyta; Charophyceae; Charales; Characeae. The record is from RNAcentral.
CCCGUAGCUCAUACUGCAUGACCAUUUUUGAACAGAACAGUGCAAACGAACAUGUGGCUGUUGCUUAGGGGCAAUACAUCGUAUUGGCACAGCAGAAUCUCACCUGGACAAGUUGGUCCUCGUUCAGUGCUGCCAAACUGACAAGAAUGGGAAAUCUUCCAAUAAAUUCUGGAAUCAACCCAUACGCAAUCAGGUCACUGCUCUCAACCUGCAAGAGGGGAGAAAAGAAAGAACCCCACUGUGUCCUUAGCAAAGCCCAUAGCACACAAAGCAGCAAGAAUAGCAUGCACGGACAUGCUCCGAAAAAGCCAAGCCAAAAGCACUCACAGAAGGAAAUGUAGCUAAGACGAAACAUCCAUUCAGCCAAACAACUCUAUGCUAGGAAUGAAGUGACUGGCAUGUAAUCUGUGACUGAUUUUGUACAGCUAGAGGAGGAGAGGAGGGGAAGGCGAGGCAAGGGCCUCAGCUGCUCUGUUUGGCACAAUGUCCUCCAGUGAGGUUAGUUUCCUCCCCCCCCCCCCUCUCUCUCUCUCUCUCUCGCUCUCUCUCUCCAGACUUGCCAACGCGUAAAACUUUACCAGCCCUUGACAUAUGAAAGAAACUCCCCAUAAGAGAUGUACUUUUGACUUCAUACAGGUGCUGCAUGCCUGUCGUCAGCUCGUGCCAUGAGAUGUUGGGUCAAGUCCUAUAACGAGCGCAACCCGCGUUUUGUGUUGCUAAGACAUCACAACGAUGUGCUGCACUCACAAAAAACUGCCAGUGAUAUACUGAAGGAAGGUGGGGAUGACGUCAAGUCCGCAUGGCCCUUAUGGGCUGGGCUACACAGGUGCUACGAUGGCAAUGACAAUAGGAAGCAAGGCUUUAAGACGGAGCGAAUCUUGAAACAUUGCCUCAGUUCGGAUUGUUCUCUGCAACUCGAGAACAUGAAGUCGGAAUCGCUAGUAAUCGCGGAUCAGCAUGCCGCGUUGAAUAUGUACUCAGGCCUUGUACACACCGCCCAUCACACCAUGGGAAUUUCUUUUGCCCGAAGUCGUCUCUAUGAUAACCCAAUGACUUCGAUAUGUUACGCACGUCGAGUGCGCAGCAUGUUUUUCGCAUCAUUGAUCAUAGAGACUAUCACAGUAGAAUCUGUGACUGAGGUGAAGUCGUAACAAGGUAGCCGUAGGGGAACCUGCUGCUG